AUUGAACGCUGGCGGCAGGCCUAACACAUGCAAGUCGAACGAGUGGCGGACGGGUGAGUAAUGUCUGGGAAACUGCCCGAUGGAGGGGGCUAACUACUGGAAACGGUAGCUAAUACCGCAUACCAUCGGAUGUGCCCAGAUGGGAUUAGCUUGUAGGUGAGGUAACGGCUCACCUAGGCGACGAUCCCUAGCUGGUCUGAGAGGAUGACCAGCCACACUGGAAUUGAGCCACGGUCCUGCCUCCUACGGUAGGCAGCAGGGGGGAAUAUGGCACAAUGGGCGCAAGGCUAAUGCAGCCAUGCCGCGUGGAUGAAGAAGUCCUUCGGGUUGUACAGUACUUUCAGCGGGGGGGCGUUCCCCUCAGAAGAAGCGCCGGCUAACUCCGUGCCAGCAGCCGCGGUAAUUC
RNAcentral lists this ribosomal RNA (406 nucleotides) under uncultured bacterium. Its description in RNAcentral is "partial 16S ribosomal RNA". It matches the Rfam family "Bacterial small subunit ribosomal RNA", at positions 30 to 526 of the family's 1533-position model. The record is from RNAcentral.